AGUAUGAAGGACCAAAAUCGUGCGCAAGAGGGUGGUGCAUGGGUCAAACAACACAGGACCUUCACCCAAGAGACCGGGGUUUGUAUCCUCUUCUUGUCCUGCGUGUCACUGAAACGGACAUUUUGUAACCCCACCCAUGAUCUUUUCCUAAAUCUCACAGUCCCGUUCUUGAGCCGCAUGUCA
Long non-coding RNA from Etheostoma spectabile (orangethroat darter), 183 nucleotides. RefSeq lists it as uncharacterized. Lineage: Eukaryota; Metazoa; Chordata; Actinopteri; Perciformes; Percidae. The record is from RefSeq and is a predicted model, not a curated record. The transcript is spliced from 4 exons.